This 761-nucleotide ribosomal RNA is filed under the name uncultured bacterium. RNAcentral's name for it is "bacterial SSU rRNA". It matches the Rfam family "Bacterial small subunit ribosomal RNA", at positions 739 to 1506 of the family's 1533-position model. The record is from RNAcentral.
ACUGACGCUCACGCACGAAAGCGUGGGAGCAAACAGGAUUAGAUACCCUGGUAGUCCACGCCCUAAACGAUGUCAACUGGUUGUUGGGAGGGUUUCUUCUCAGUAACGUAGCUAACGCGUGAAGUUGACCGCCUGGGGAGUACGGCCGCAAGGUUGAAACUCAAAGGAAUUGACGGGGACCCGCACAAGCGGUGGAUGAUGUGGUUUAAUUCGAUGCAACGCGAAAAACCUUACCUACCCUUGACAUGUCAGGAAUUCUGCAGAGAUGCGGAAGUGCUCGAAAGAGAACCUGAACACAGGUGCUGCAUGGCCGUCGUCAGCUCGUGUCGUGAGAUGUUGGGUUAAGUCCCGCAACGAGCGCAACCCUUGUCAUUAGUUGCUACGAAAGGGCACUCUAAUGAGACUGCCGGUGACAAACCGGAGGAAGGUGGGGAUGACGUCAGGUCAUCAUGGCCCUUAUGGGUAGGGCUACACACGUCAUACAAUGGCCGGGACAGAGGGCUGCCAACCCGCGAGGGGGAGCUAAUCCCAGAAACCCGGUCGUAGUCCGGAUCGCAGUCUGCAACUCGACUGCGUGAAGUCGGAAUCGCUAGUAAUCGCGGAUCAGCUUGCCGCGGUGAAUACGUUCCCGGGUCUUGUACACACCGCCCGUCACACCAUGGGAGCGGGUUCUGCCAGAAGUAGUUAGCCUAACCGCAAGGAGGGCGAUUACCACGGCAGGGUUCGUGACUGGGGUGAAGUCGUAACAAGGUAACCAAGGG